AGCGAACGCUGGCGGCAGGCCUAACACAUGCAAGUCGAACGAACCUUUCGGGGUUAGUGGCGGACGGGUGAGUAACACGUGGGAACGUGCCUUUAGGUUCGGAAUAACUCAGGGAAACUUGUGCUAAUACCGCAUGUGCCCUUCGGGGAAAAGAUUUAUCGCCUUUAGAGCGGCCCGCGUCUGAUUAGCUAGUUGGUGGAGGUAAUGGCUCACCAAGGCGACGAUCAGUAGCUGGUCUGAGAGGAUGAUCAGCCACAUUGGGACUGAGACACGGCCCACACUCCUACGGGAGGCAGCAGUGGGGAAUCUUGCGCAAUGGGCGAAAGCCUGACGCAGCCAUGCCGCGUGAAUGAUGAAGGUCUUAGGAUUGUAAAAUUCUUUCACCGGGGACGAUAAUGACGGUACCCGGAGAAGAAGCCCCGGCUAACUUCGUG
This 434-nucleotide ribosomal RNA is filed under the name uncultured bacterium. Its description in RNAcentral is "partial 16S ribosomal RNA". It matches the Rfam family "Bacterial small subunit ribosomal RNA", at positions 29 to 507 of the family's 1533-position model. The record is from RNAcentral.